This is a long non-coding RNA of Carassius auratus (goldfish), 783 nucleotides long. RefSeq lists it as uncharacterized. The transcript is spliced from 4 exons. The record is from RefSeq and is a predicted model, not a curated record. Lineage: Eukaryota; Metazoa; Chordata; Actinopteri; Cypriniformes; Cyprinidae.
UGAAAGCAUUCUGAACGCAAGGUGGUGCUGUUGCCUUUAAUAUGAAGUCGAAAUAUUCAGCUUCAACAGAGAUGGCGAUAUGAUCUCGGUGUCAUCUAAAGGUUUUGGAUCCUGUCAUUGUCUUCAACCGGAGCGGAUCACCUCAGUUUUUCAGAUGUGGAAGAGGAAGAUGCUAUACGCUCUCCAAGGCUGUAGGUUACUUUAUUAAAUGCGUGUACUUACGUCAAUUUAAGUUAAAUUAGUUUCAGUAAUUAGUUUUAGUAAACAAGUUUCAGUUAAAUAAAUUUUGUCUUCUUAAAUUGACGAGUGUUCGCCUGACGCGAUGCAGAAUGUACCUUUGUGCAAACCAUAGUUGGUAUGAGCAACAAGUGGAAAGAAAAACAAGUUUUUUCACAUUCAUUUUAUUUUUUCAUGGAAGAUUGGAUAACUAUAAAUGGGCCAGAGGUGUUUGGCUUUUACCUGCACACCCACUGAAGAAAGUAGCGUUUAGCCUGGAUAACCUGCUGGAUUGAGGCCUGGAUUGAAGGUUAAAUUCUUCCUGGCUAAAGUAAUCCAUUCAGCACCUUCUAGUAGUGAAACUAUUCCCUACACAUUUGGCCGGCUAACCACUGGGAUAUACUGGUUUGGAACGCACUGAAACGGUGUAAUCUUUCUGGUAUAUGUUUAUAACGAUGUCUAACAUCUUCAGAGCUGUGUUCUUGUGUUUCCUGUCACUGUGGGCACCAGGGCACAGUAGUACAUGGCAGAGUCUGUCACUUCUGUAGAAGAGAUCGUCAAAUUCAU